GGAAAAGCUCAGGUUGUAGAGUGUGAGACUCUUCGUCUCGGGGCUGUGGGUUUGAACCCCACGUUGGCCA
This is a non-coding RNA of Podarcis lilfordi (Lilford's wall lizard), 70 nucleotides long. The record is from the annotation of a GenBank genome assembly. Lineage: Eukaryota; Metazoa; Chordata; Lepidosauria; Squamata; Lacertidae.